Molecule: ribosomal RNA, 952 nt
Filed under: Levilactobacillus brevis
Lineage: Bacteria; Bacillati; Bacillota; Bacilli; Lactobacillales; Lactobacillaceae
Description: bacterial SSU rRNA
Rfam family: Bacterial small subunit ribosomal RNA
Source: RNAcentral
GCACUGAUUUGAACAAUGAAGCGAGUGGCGAACUGGUGAGUAACACGUGGGAAAUCUGCCCAGAAGCAGGGGAUAACACUUGGAAACAGGUGCUAAUACCGUAUAACAACAAAAUCCGCAUGGAUUUUGUUUGAAAGGUGGCUUCGGCUAUCACUUCUGGAUGAUCCCGCGGCGUAUUAGUUAGUUGGUGAGGUAAAGGCCCACCAAGACGAUGAUACGUAGCCGACCUGAGAGGGUAAUCGGCCACAUUGGGACUGAGACACGGCCCAAACUCCUACGGGAGGCAGCAGUAGGGAAUCUUCCACAAUGGACGAAAGUCUGAUGGAGCAAUGCCGCGUGAGUGAAGAAGGGUUUCGGCUCGUAAAACUCUGUUGUUAAAGAAGAACACCUUUGAGAGUAACUGUUCAAGGGUUGACGGUAUUUAACCAGAAAGCCACGGCUAACUACGUGCCAGCAGCCGCGGUAAUACGUAGGUGGCAAGCGUUGUCCGGAUUUAUUGGGCGUAAAGCGAGUGCAGGCGGUUUUUUAAGUCUGAUGUGAAAGCCUUCGGCUUAACCGGAGAAGUGCAUCGGAAACUGGGAGACUUGAGUGCAGAAGAGGACAGUGGAACUCCAUGUGUAGCGGUGGAAUGCGUAGAUAUAUGGAAGAACACCAGUGGCGAAGGCGGCUGUCUAGUCUGUAACUGACGCUGAGGCUCGAAAGCAUGGGUAGCGAACAGGAUUAGAUACCCUGGUAGUCCAUGCCGUAAACGAUGAGUGCUAAGUGUUGGAGGGUUUCCGCCCUUCAGUGCUGCAGCUAACGCAUUAAGCACUCCGCCUGGGGAGUACGACCGCAAGGUUGAAACUCAAAGGAAUUGACGGGGGCCCGCACAAGCGGUGGAGCAUGUGGUUUAAUUCGAAGCUACGCGAAGAACCUUACCAGGUCUUGACAUCUUCUGCCAAUCUUAGAGAUA